CCUACGGGAGGCAGCAGUGGGGAAUAUUGCACAAUGGGCGCAAGCCUGAUGCAGCCAUGCCGCGUGUAUGAAGAAGGCCUUCGGGUUGUAAAGUACUUUCAGCGGAGAGGAAGGUGUUGUGGUUAAUAACCACAGCAAUUGACGUUACCCGCAGAAGAAGCACCGGCUAACUCCGUGCCAGCAGCCGCGGUAAUACGGAGGGUGCAAGCGUUAAUCGGAAUUACUGGGCGUAAAGCGCACGCAGGCGGUCUGUCAAGUCGGAUGUGAAAUCCCCGGGCUCAACCUGGGAACUGCAUUCGAAACUGGCAGGCUAGAGUCUUGUGGAGGGGGGUAGAAUUCCAGGUGUAGCGGUGAAAUGCGUAGAGAUCUGGAGGAAUACCGGUGGCGAAGGCGGCCCCCUGGACAAAGACUGACGCUCAGGUGCGAAAGCGUGUGGGAGCAAACAGGAUUAGAUACCCGAGUAGUC
Molecule: ribosomal RNA, 466 nt
Filed under: uncultured bacterium
Lineage: Bacteria
Description: bacterial SSU rRNA
Rfam family: Bacterial small subunit ribosomal RNA
Source: RNAcentral